This is a non-coding RNA of Misgurnus anguillicaudatus (oriental weatherfish), 484 nucleotides long. Lineage: Eukaryota; Metazoa; Chordata; Actinopteri; Cypriniformes; Cobitidae. The record is from RefSeq and is a predicted model, not a curated record.
UCCAGGCGCGAAUUUGUGAAAAGAUUAGCUGUUGACGGAAAAUAAUGUCCAGUAAACAUUGAUUUAAAUUAACCGUGUUAGUCAUGAUAAGCGUGUCAGUCUCUAGCAGAACUUAAACAUUCAUAAAAACCGGCAUACAGCAUUAUUCUGUCAUCACAGAUGGUGACCCUGAAAUCCUGCAUGACUCCAGACCAGAAACUCUGAAGUAAGCUCAAACAAGCCGUACAAAAGGACACGUGUAGUGUUAUCUGUGAGCUCCAUCCGUCGUCUCCGGUAAUAAAACAUCAGUCAAGAGGUAACAGAAGUUUUCUGUAUGAGACGGAUUAUCAGAAGAGGAAAGUCGAGGCAAGGACAAACGUCAGGUCUGAAGAAUCCCACAGCACCUAGACUAAACUGACCCCUCGCCCGUGUGUGACACUCACUCAGCAUGCCCAUGCCCAGCAUGAAGGCGUCCAUGGUGUAGGGAAGACUUCUCGCCCUGCCC